CAGAGCUGUUCACUUUGACAGCACAAAAUACUAAAAUUACAGAGAAGAUUAGCAUGGCCCCUGCACAAGGAUGACACACAAAUUCAUGAAGUGUUUCUAUUUUUG
Cavia porcellus (domestic guinea pig) is the source of this 105-nucleotide small nuclear RNA. Lineage: Eukaryota; Metazoa; Chordata; Mammalia; Rodentia; Caviidae. The record is from Ensembl.